UACGGAGGGUGCGAGCGUUGUCCGGAAUCAUUGGGCGUAAAGGGCGCGCAGGUGGCCCGGUCAGUUCGUGGUGAAAGCGCGGGGCUCAACCCUGCGUCGGCCAUGAAUACUGCCGCGGCUGGAGCACUGUAGAGGCAGGCGGAAUUCCGGGUGUAGCGGUGGAAUGCGUAGAGAUCCGGAAGAACACCGGUGGCGAAGGCGGCCUGCUGGGCAGUUGCUGACACUGAGGCGCGACAGCGUGGGGAGCAAACAGG
RNAcentral lists this ribosomal RNA (254 nucleotides) under uncultured bacterium. RNAcentral's name for it is "partial 16S ribosomal RNA". It matches the Rfam family "Bacterial small subunit ribosomal RNA", at positions 524 to 776 of the family's 1533-position model. The record is from RNAcentral.